This 484-nucleotide ribosomal RNA is filed under the name uncultured bacterium. RNAcentral's name for it is "partial 16S ribosomal RNA". It matches the Rfam family "Bacterial small subunit ribosomal RNA", at positions 30 to 507 of the family's 1533-position model. The record is from RNAcentral.
AUUGAACGCUGGCGGCAGGCCUAACACAUGCAAGUCGAGCGGUUGAAGGUAGCUUGCUCCUGGAUUCAGCGGCGGACGGGUGAGUAAUUCCUAGGAAUCUGCCUGGUCGUGGGGGAUAACGUCCAGAAACGGGCGCUAAUACCGCAUACGUCCUGAGGGAGAAAGCGGGGGAUCUUCGUACAUCACGCUAUCAGAUGAGCCUAGGUCGGAUUGGCUAGUUGGUGGGGUAAGGGCCUACCAAGGCGACGAACAGUAACUGGUCUGAGAGGAGGAUCAGUCACACUGGAACUGAAACACGGUCCAAACUCCUACGGGAGGAAGCAGUGGGGAAUAUUGGACAUUGGGGAAAAGCCUGAUCCAGACAGGCCGCGUGUGUGAGGAAGGUCUUCGGAUUGUAAAGCACGUUGAGUUGGGAGAAAGGGCAGUAGGUUAAUACCUUGCUGUUUUGACGGUACCAACAGAAUAAGCACCGGCUAACUUCGUG